GUUGAUAGAGGCGCACGUUGUCAAGAGUAGUCGCAACAGAGGCAUAGGAUGCGGUAGCGAAAGGGACACGUGCCGAAGAUGGAAUAUAUCCUCAGUAUAUUCUUUCUGGGUCGGUAGAUAACAUCUAUCGAACUGUCGCAGAUUCUGCGGAGUGCUAUCAU
Molecule: non-coding RNA, 161 nt
Filed under: bovine gut metagenome
Description: Lysine riboswitch
Rfam family: Lysine riboswitch aptamer
About the family: Riboswitches are metabolite binding domains within certain messenger RNAs that serve as precision sensors for their corresponding targets. Allosteric rearrangement of mRNA structure is mediated by ligand binding, and this results in modulation of gene expression.
Source: RNAcentral